GCUUUCAAGGCUUUCUUCCUCUUCUAUCCACUUAGCAGCACAUUCUUCAGCCUUUUUAAUGCUUUUCUCACUAAAUUCAAUUACCCUGCUGCAAGUUUCCACGACAUGUAUUCCACAGAACAACAAAUUGGAAUCUCCAGUAAAACAGGCAUCUGUGGAGGCCCCUUCAGCCAUUUUGUGUGCUAGCCUGAAGCAAAGCGCGUGAUUGGCCAAUUGGCAGACAACUCGAUGUUAAACGUGCUUUGAUUGGACUAAAAAGUACCCGAAAAUGUUCUGUUUUUUCUCUAAUUUAAUAAAAAUGUGCAAGUCUUAUUCAUGACGAAUUUCAGGGGUGAUUUAUAUAAUUUUUUUACACAAUAUGUGAAAAUUUCAUGUAGUUUGGUGACUUGGGUCACGAAACAGUAGAAUAAAGCUCCUCGGCCCACAGCCUAUAUGGGCAGGGGAAUUGAAAUAGUUUGCAAAUGGAAGACCCAGCAGGGCAGAUGAAAGGUCUUGACCAGAAACCUUAACUGUCCAUUUACCUCCACAGAUGCUGUCUGACCCGAGUUCCUCCAACUGGGCCAGUGUGUCUUCCUUCGAUGCUCUGACUCUGAACAGGGUGUUUUAAUGUUUAAUCAUUAACCUUGCUCCUAAGCAAAACUGAUUGUUGUUUAAUUUGUAUAUUACGUUUUGAUAAUCUUAAACGUUUUAGAUUUGGUGUGAUCACUAACCACGUAGCCUGUUUAAUUAAGCCUAUUUAUGCAAAGGAGAAUAAUUUUUCUGUGAUUGUAUUGUUCUGCAGGCCUAUUCAUAUCCCAGUCCUCCUGCUGUGGCGUUACCACAAGUCCAAGUGGGUUAUCCACAUCCUGUGUAUAAUUAUCAGGCAGCAACACAGUGGUCACCAGGAGGUCAUUGGAGAUGGAUGGUGCCUCAGCCUUCCACAGGGGCAUACGUAAAUUUUCCUUGUCCUGAAAUGAUUAAUCCAGGAACUGUGUUUGUGCAGAGAGAAUGUGAUGCACAGCCAUCUUCAACUUCAUCUCUAGAUACUGUGGAAAAGGUAAUUAACUAAUCUUUAAAGAUCUGCUUUUAUGAAACUGCAAUGUUGAUCCUUUUUAAAAAUGCCAAAACCUCUAGGGGAAUGUUAAUGUGAAGCAUGCAGCAAUAUACUGGGAGAAGGGGGAUAUUUUAUAUUCUACCUUUGAUUUGGUUGUCUAUGUAUCACUGCUUGAUACUUUUUGAAUAUCAAAUAUUGAUGCACUUUCACAAUUCUAAUUUUUGCACAAAUUUGAUUUUAAUUUUACGUAUAUCAAAUAGUUUUAAUACAAAAGGCCUCAUAGAAUGCUUGAUACAUGGGAAAUGUUAUUUGGAUCCCUUUCCCUCAUUGCCCCUUUUUCCACACACAACCACCUCUAUCUUCAUCAAUGCAGCUGUUCGAACAUAAACACGAGGAAGUUAAUUUCUGGUUUUAAUUCUUUCUUGAACUUUUUGAAGGUUAUCACUGGUAAAAGUGAUUGUCUAUCCCUGAUCAUUUUAGGUUGAAUUGGUUGUGUGUUGAACAACUGCAGACUUGGACAAUGGAGAAAGUAUUUGAAUGGGGACCUAAAAAAUAUGGACACCUUUGAUUAUAAAUAAACAUUAAUAUAAAGUCAAACCAAGAUUGUAUCAGCUGCC
Molecule: long non-coding RNA, 1650 nt
Organism: Leucoraja erinaceus (little skate)
Lineage: Eukaryota; Metazoa; Chordata; Chondrichthyes; Rajiformes; Rajidae
Exons: 3
Source: RefSeq, a predicted model, not a curated record